AUUGAACGCUGGCGGCAUGCCUUACACAUGCAAGUCGAACGGCAGCGCGGACUUCGGUCUGGCGGCGAGUGGCGAACGGGUGAGUAAUACAUCGGAACGUACCCUGUUGUGGGGGAUAACUAGUCGAAAGAUUAGCUAAUACCGCAUACGACCUGAGGGUGAAAGUGGGGGACCGCAAGGCCUCACGCAGCAGGAGCGGCCGGUGUCUGAUUAGCUAGUUGGUGGGGUAAAGGCCCACCAAGGCGACGAUCAGUAGCUGGUCUGAGAGGACGAUCAGCCACACUGGGACUGAGACACGGCCCAGACUCCUACGGGAGGCAGCAGUGGGGAAUUUUGGACAAUGGGGGCAACCCUGAUCCAGCAAUGCCGCGUGUGUGAAGAAGGCCUUCGGGUUGUAAAGCACUUUUGUCCGGAAAGAAAUCGCGCUGGUUAAUACCUGGCGUGGAUGACGGUACCGGAAGAACAAGCACCGGCUAACUACGUGCCAGCCGCCGCAGUAA
This 500-nucleotide ribosomal RNA is filed under the name uncultured bacterium. RNAcentral describes it as "partial 16S ribosomal RNA". It matches the Rfam family "Bacterial small subunit ribosomal RNA", at positions 29 to 523 of the family's 1533-position model. The record is from RNAcentral.